UUGCCGCGUGUUGCCUCGGCGGUGAGGUCCGCGGGGGGGCGGCGCUACGGCGCUGCCCCUCCACGAACCCCCGCCGGCCGCGCCUUACUCUUAAUUUGCAAAGCGGACUGUACGAUCUGAUUAAUCUUGAUAAACAAGUCAAAACUUUCAACAACGGAUCUCUUGGUUCUGGCAUCGAUGAAGAACGCAGCGAAAUGCGAUAAGUAAUGUGAAUUGCAGAAUUCAGUGAAUCAUCGAAUCUUUGAACGCACAUUGCGCCCGGCAGCAAUCUGCCGGGCAUGCCUGUCCGAGCGUCAUUUCUCCCCUCGAGCGCGGUUCGGCCCCUAGCGGGCCGGCCGCCGCCCGGUGUUGGGGCACUGCGGGCCACAGCGCCUGCAGGCCCUUAAAUGAAGUGGCGGUCCCGCCGCGGCGCCCCCUGCGUAGUAGUAAAGCACCUCGCAUCGGGUCCCGGCGAAGACCAGCCGUCGAACCUUUCUCUUGAUGGUUUGACCUCGGAUCAGGUAGGGAUACCCGCUGAACUUAA
Molecule: ribosomal RNA, 523 nt
Filed under: Microascus chartarum
Lineage: Eukaryota; Fungi; Ascomycota; Sordariomycetes; Microascales; Microascaceae
Description: eukaryotic LSU rRNA
Rfam family: 5.8S ribosomal RNA (bases 143-296)
Source: RNAcentral